GGCGGGAGGGGCUCGGGGUUCGGGUUCUCCGGUCACCGCCACUUCUGCGGGCUCCGGCUCCGGGCGCCGCGAGGCCCGAGGGAACCCCCCGCGCUGGCGGUAGGCGCGCUGUGCCCCUCGUGCAUCCCAGGCUCCCGCUCUGCCUUCCGCUGCCCCCGACAUCCCUCCUGUCCCGGGAGGGCGGGGGGAGGCAGAGCUCCUCUCCCGUGCCGCCCACUCCUAAUCCAGGACAGGCUGCGCUCCCGCCGGCGCCUCCGUUGCCGUUCCGGGAGAAGUGAUGGGACAGGCUCCGCGUUGCAGGGUCCUGAAAAAAAACGGGCACUUGCCAAACUGCGGACCAGAUGUGACUGAGGAGACUCACUGCAGUAUCUCACAACUGGAAGUCAGAGGGACAAGGGUGCUUCUGAACAGGAGUACGUUGCCAGGGCAACAGAGUGUAAGCAGGAGCACAGCACCUUGCAGAUCACAAAGGCAAAGCUGCAGAAAGAAAUUUCAGCGAGUUUCUCUCUCCCUUUUGCAAUGGUUUCAUGGAACAACAAAAACUGCUUUGAGGCACAUUGCAGAAAUGGCUGGAAGCUGGAUUCAGGAAUGGGAGGUGGUUCUGCAGAGAGCGACAGGGACCAAACCCUUGGACCAGGCGUGGGGACAGUUACCUGCAAGAGAGGAGAAAAUUCUGCUUGGAGACCUGGGCGUGAGGCGCAUAACUCAUGGAUUUCCUGUGUCUCCAGAUAAGCAUUUACACCUGAGACAUCAGAGUCCAGGGAGUGAAGAGCAGCCUGGCUGCAGGGACAAGGGCAUGUGGCUCUGUUCAGAGUGAGCAGAAAAGCCAGGAAUGAAGAAGCAGCCUGUUGCUUUGGCAGUGUUUGAGGAAAGAUCUCCCUUUCCCAUGGCUUCAGAGAGUUGGAGACAAGGUCACGCUGGUCUGAGGAAAGCCAAAUAGCUUCUGGAAAUCCCAAAUCAGACUGACACUGCAAGAUCUGUCCAUCAUUCAAAUUUAGAUGAAGUCACCUUCCAUGUUGCUUUCACUGACAUUUAGGAUUUUUUUUUGUUUGAUAUUGGCUGGUUUCUGUGAAAUCCAACAGCUCUGCUCCUCUAAGUUCUAACCAAGAAAAUCUCCACUGUUUUUGUCCUCUGUGCAGAAUCUAAUUUCAUAGAAACUGAACAUUAAUUCAGAUAAAAUACGUAGAUACAGAAUCUCCUUAAAGCAGUCUUCUAUUAAGUCUGCAGGAAGGCAGCUGACUGCAACCAGACUGGGCCACAGAAAGAACUCUGGGACAAGGUGCACUUGCCAACUGCCAGACAGUGGACAAUAUUUCUAUUUUUUGUUGGCUUAGGAGACUGCAUUUUUGGCUCCUUAAAGCAAUUCUGGACAAGAAACUAUUUGCUGGAUCUUUUUAAUUUUUAAUUUUUUUUUCUGUUUUAAUCAUAAUAAAUUUUAAAAUGUAGAAAGUCAAAA
Molecule: long non-coding RNA, 1456 nt
Organism: Pseudopipra pipra
Lineage: Eukaryota; Metazoa; Chordata; Aves; Passeriformes; Pipridae
Exons: 6
Source: RefSeq, a predicted model, not a curated record